Molecule: ribosomal RNA, 298 nt
Filed under: Synechococcus sp. UW180
Lineage: Bacteria; Bacillati; Cyanobacteriota; Cyanophyceae; Synechococcales; Synechococcaceae
Description: partial 16S ribosomal RNA
Rfam family: Bacterial small subunit ribosomal RNA
Source: RNAcentral
GGACAAAGAGCAGCAAGUUCGCGAGGACAAGCAAAUCUCAUAAACCGUGGCUCAGUUCAGAUCGUAGGCUGCAACUCGCCUACGUGAAGGAGGAAUCGCUAGUAAUCGCAGGUCAGCAUACUGCGGUGAAUACGUUCCCGGGCCUUGUACACACCGCCCGUCACACCAUGGAAGUUGGCCACGCCCGAAGCCGUUACUCCAACCCUUGUGGAGGAGGACGUCGAAGGUGGGGCUGAUGACUGGGGUGAAGUCGUAACAAGGUAGCCGUACCGGAAGGUGCGGCUGGAUCACCUCCUAA